RNAcentral lists this transfer RNA (77 nucleotides) under Flavobacteriaceae bacterium. Its description in RNAcentral is "tRNA-Asn". It matches the Rfam family "tRNA". From Rfam's summary of the family: Transfer RNA (tRNA) molecules are approximately 80 nucleotides in length. The record is from RNAcentral. Lineage: Bacteria; Pseudomonadati; Bacteroidota; Flavobacteriia; Flavobacteriales; Flavobacteriaceae.
UCCUCCUUAGCUCAGUUGGUUAGAGCAUCUGACUGUUAAUCAGAGGGUCCUUGGUUCGAGCCCAAGAUGAGGAGCAA